This 477-nucleotide ribosomal RNA is filed under the name uncultured bacterium. RNAcentral's name for it is "bacterial SSU rRNA". It matches the Rfam family "Bacterial small subunit ribosomal RNA", at positions 28 to 502 of the family's 1533-position model. The record is from RNAcentral.
GAUGAACGCUAGCGGCAGGCUUAACACAUGCAAGUCGAGGGGUAGAAGGAGCUUGCUCCUUUGAGACCGGCGCACGGGUGCGUAACGCGUAUGCAAUCUACCUUUUGCAGAGGGAUAGCCCAGAGAAAUUUGGAUUAAUACCUCAUAGUAUGUGAGGAUGGCAUCAUUUUCACAUUAAAGUCACAACGGCAAAAGAUGAGCAUGCGUCCCAUUAGCUAGUUGGUAAGGUAACGGCUUACCAAGGCUACGAUGGGUAGGGGUCCUGAGAGGGAGAUCCCCCCACACUGGUACUGAGACACGGACCAGACUCCUACGGGAGGCAGCAGUGAGGAAUAUUGGACAAAUGGGCGCAAGCCUGAUCCAGCCAUGCCGCGUGCAGGAUGACGGUCCUAUGGAUUGUAAACUGCUUUUGUACAGGAAGAAACACUACUUCGUGAAGUAGCUUGACGGUACUGUAAGAAUAAGAUCGGCUAAACU